Molecule: ribosomal RNA, 732 nt
Filed under: uncultured Archaeospora
Lineage: Eukaryota; Fungi; Glomeromycota; Glomeromycetes; Archaeosporales; Archaeosporaceae
Description: LSU rRNA
Rfam family: Eukaryotic large subunit ribosomal RNA
Source: RNAcentral
UAAGCGGAGGAAAAGAAACUAACAAUGAUUCCCCCAGUAACUGCGAGUGAAGAGGGACAAGCUCAAAUUUUAAAUCUGUUGGGUUUACCUAACCGAGUUGUAAUUUGAAGAGGCGUUUUCUGUGUUUUUGAUCAGUCCAAGUCCUUUGGGAUAAGGCAUCAUGGAGGGUGAGAAUCCCGUCCGGUUGAUCAGAUUCGCUUUACGAUACGUCAUCUAAGAGUCAAGUUGUUUGGGAUUGCAGCUUAAAAUGGGAGGUAAAUUUCUCCUAAGGCUAAAUAACGGCGAGAGACCGAUAGCGAACAAGUACCGUGAGGGAAAGAUGAAAAGAACUUUGAAAAGAGAGUUAAAUAGUACGUGAAAUUGUUGAUAGGGAAACGAUUAAAGUCAGUCAUGCCGGUGGAAAAUCAGCUCAUGGGACUACUGUGAGUGCACUUUUUCGCAUGGCAGGUCAAUAUUAGUUUUGUUGGGACAUAAUUAUUGUAGAAAGGUGACUCCUUCGGGAGUGUUAUAGACUACUUUAGAUGGCCUGACAUAGACUAAGGAUUGCAGCGAAUGCCUUAGGCUACAGUUCUUUCUCUGUAAGUCGUUAAUUGGUUGUCAGCUUGCUGACUUCUAGUUAAUUGGCAGACAGUAAGGUAGAAAUUGAUAAAUUCGCUAAGGAUGUUGACGUAAUGGCUUUAAACGACCCGUCUUGAAACACGGACCAAGGAGUCUAACAUGUAUGCGAGUGUU